Molecule: long non-coding RNA, 601 nt
Filed under: Rattus norvegicus (Norway rat)
Lineage: Eukaryota; Metazoa; Chordata; Mammalia; Rodentia; Muridae
Description: long non-coding RNA NONRATT003905
Source: RNAcentral
AAGAUAAGGCUGUCAGAAUACUCAAACACCACACAGGAAUCAGGCAAGUAAGGUCAAAUAAAUUGAUUAAUAUGUUAAGAGUAGAAAUGUACAGCAGGUAAUUAUAAUUAGGUAAGCUAUGACAAGAGGUAGCAAAUUUUAAGAGUAUUAAGAAAUUGUCUUUUUGCAAAAGAUGGAGACUAUUAUGGAAACCCACAGUCAAUCAGUACCAACUGAUACUUCUACAAAAUACUCUCUCAACAAAAGCUCUGAGAACAUUGUGGAAGAGGAAGCAGAAAGAUUACAGGAACCAGACGAUCAGGAGUUUUUGGUAAGAUUGUGUCUCCUAGUACUGUCCAAAGCUACACCCACAGAGUAUCAGUAUUAUAGCCCAAACGUCGGUUAAAUAAGGGCAUCGGUGAUGAGCAUGCCAAGUAGACAGAGAAAUGGGUCUCUACUGUACACAAGGAGCCACAGGCAACUAAGAAAAGCUAGAAAUGGAGAAGGGCUUUCUUUCCUGAAAAGACCUCACCAAUUGGUUUUCCAGGGCCAAAAAGCCAGUCUUGAGGCUUACAUACCAGUAGCAUUUACCUACAUUUCUACAAUAAUGACUAAUGAAAAA